ACUCCUACGGGAGGCAGCAGUGGGGAAUAUUGCACAAUGGGCGCAAGCCUGAUGCAGCCAUGCCGCGUGUAUGAAGAAGGCCUUCGGGUUGUAAAGUACUUUCAGCAGUGAGGAAGGUGGGUAUGUUAAUAGCAUAUUCAUUUGACGUUAGCUGCAGAAGAAGCACCGGCUAACUCCGUGCCAGCAGCCGCGGUAAUACGGAGGGUGCGAGCGUUAAUCGGAAUUACUGGGCGUAAAGCGCAUGCAGGUGGUUUGUUAAGUCAGAUGUGAAAGCCCGGGGCUCAACCUCGGAAUUGCAUUUGAAACUGGCAAACUAGAGUACUGUAGAGGGGGGUAGAAUUUCAGGUGUAGCGGUGAAAUGCGUAGAGAUCUGAAGGAAUACCGGUGGCGAAGGCGGCCCCCUGGACAGAUACUGACACUCAGAUGCGAAAGCGUGGGGAGCAAACAGGAUUAGAUACCCUGGUAGGUCUGC
RNAcentral lists this ribosomal RNA (472 nucleotides) under uncultured bacterium. Its description in RNAcentral is "bacterial SSU rRNA". It matches the Rfam family "Bacterial small subunit ribosomal RNA", at positions 335 to 798 of the family's 1533-position model. The record is from RNAcentral.